Molecule: ribosomal RNA, 254 nt
Filed under: uncultured bacterium
Lineage: Bacteria
Description: partial 16S ribosomal RNA
Rfam family: Bacterial small subunit ribosomal RNA
Source: RNAcentral
UACGUAGGGGGGCAAGCGUUGUCCGGAAUCAUUGGGCGUAAAGAGCGUGUAGGCGGCUUGGUAAGUCCGCUGUGAAAGUCCAGGGCUCAACCCUGGAAAGCCGGUGGAAACUGUCAAGCUUGAGUCCGGAAGAGGCGAGUGGAAUUCCUGGUGUAGCGGUGAAAUGCGCAGAUAUCAGGAGGAACACCAAUGGCGAAGGCAGCUCGCUGGGACGGUACUGACGCUGAGACGCGAAAGCGUGGGGAGCAAACAGG